Molecule: ribosomal RNA, 448 nt
Filed under: uncultured bacterium
Lineage: Bacteria
Description: partial 16S ribosomal RNA
Rfam family: Bacterial small subunit ribosomal RNA
Source: RNAcentral
GCCAGACUCCUACGGGAGGCAGCAGUGGGGAAUAUUGCACAAUGGGGGAAACCCUGAUGCAGCGACGCCGCGUGAGCGAAGAAGUAUUUCGGUAUGUAAAGCUCUAUCAGCAGGGAAGAAAAAAAUGACGGUACCUGAGUAAGAAGCACCGGCUAAAUACGUGCCAGCAGCCGCGGUAAUACGUAUGGUGCAAGCGUUAUCCGGAUUUACUGGGUGUAAAGGGAGCGUAGGCGGCGCGUUAAGUCUGAUGUGAAAGCCCGGGGCCCAACCCCGGGACUGCUCUUGGAACUGCGCGGCUGGAGUGCAGGAGGGGCAGGCGGAAUUCCUGGUGUAGCGGUGAAAUGCGUAGAUAUCAGGAGGAACACCGGUGGCGAAGGCGGCCUGCUGGACUGCGACUGACGUUGAGGCCCGAAAGCGUGGGGAGCAAACAGGAUUAGAUACCCCGGUA